This 570-nucleotide long non-coding RNA is filed under the name Pan troglodytes (chimpanzee). Its description in RNAcentral is "lincRNA". The record is from RNAcentral. Lineage: Eukaryota; Metazoa; Chordata; Mammalia; Primates; Hominidae.
AGCAAUCAGCGAGAUUCCGUGGGCGUAGGACCCUCCGAGCCAGGUGCGGGAUAUAUUCUCGUGGUGCGCCGUUUUUUAAGCCCGUCGGAAAAGCGCAGUAUUCGGGUAGGAGUGACCUGAUUUUCCAGGUGCCAUCUGUCACCCCUUUCUUUGACUCAGAAAGGGAACUCCCUGACCCCUUGCACUUCCCAAGUGAGGCAAUGCCUCGCCCUGCUUCGGCUCGCGCACGGUGCGCGCACCCACUGACCUGCGCCCACUGUCUGGCACUCCCUAGUGAGAUGAACCCGGUACCUCAGAUGGAAAUGCAGAAAUCACCCGUCUUCUGCGUCGCUCACGCUGGGAGCUGUAGACCGGAGCUGUAGACAGGAGCUGUUCCUAUUCGGCCAUCUUGGCUCCUCCUUGACAAGCUUGAAGGUGAGCACCUCGAAGGGCUUCUUUUUAUGUUGAAAGGCACGGGUUUGGAUGGCGGUUCAUCAGAGGUCAAUACCCCAGUUUGAGAAAGUCCACUGUGGGGAGGAAAGAGAGACUUGUAAGUACCAACUGUGCUCCACUCUGGUUUUGUCUGUAAGC